RNA transcript from Setaria italica (foxtail millet), 2537 nucleotides. RefSeq lists it as uncharacterized. Lineage: Eukaryota; Viridiplantae; Streptophyta; Magnoliopsida; Poales; Poaceae. The record is from RefSeq and is a predicted model, not a curated record. The transcript is spliced from 4 exons.
UUCCGAGCCGUCUGGGAGCCGAUUCAUUUGCAAAAAGCCCCCCGCGACGGCCUGGAGACGGCUUCAUCGUCGCCUCGCGAGGCGACGAUCCCAGCUCGUGCUCCCAGGCGAAAAAGGCGACUCCAGCACCGUUGUGCGGCUCACCGACGAACCCCUGCGUCGCUCCCUCGAUCCGCUGCGGCCCCUCCGUGCGGGAAGAUGGUGCCCCUCCUCUGCCUCCAACCCACGAGCCGGCGGCGCCCUUCCUCGAAACCAAUGAGUAGCGGCGGCGGCGCGUUGCUAGAUGCGGCGGCAGUGCCGGAUGGAAGGCCGCGGCCGUGUAGGAGCAGGAAAGGUGCGGCCAUGACACGGAAGCGCGGCGGCGGCUAGCGUAGGGACUCGAUCUGCAGCUAGCCAUGGCCUGAUGGUGGCGGCUAGCUCGGGGCCUCGAUUUGCCUUUGGCGAUGCCCCUGAUGGUGGCGUCCUCAAGAUUCAGAUGUAGCAGGAUGUUUGGUCGGGCAAGCUGUUUACCAAUUUGAUCAUCAACGGUUUCUCAUGGCGAUCAUCAACGGUUUCUCAUGACAGAGGUUCUGAUUUGAAGGCACAUGCAGGCUGGUCUACUGCAGAUGAGCAACUGAAUAAACAACAGACCUACAAGGUUCAAUCGUUCAGUUCAAAGCAGCAAUGGCAGACUUUGAUUUUAAGGUUUGCAAUUUGUUUUCAACAGUUUGAUUCAGAGUACACAGGGAGCAAAGUGUUGGGAGCUGGAUCACAACACUGCCAUCCUCCAGGUGAUGGUUUCCUCCUCACUUUAGGAUAUGUUUGGAGCGAAGGAAUGGAAAAUAGAGGAACAAAGGAAAACGCAGGAAUAGAGUUUGUAUGCAAUGGCAAAACAGAGACAAGGAAAACAUGAAGAAAACAUAAGAAUUGGUGUUUGGAACGCAGGAAUAAGAUCGCAUGAAACCAGAGUUACAGGUGGGUCGCACAAGUGGAGGAAAAAAACAGCCACGCACUUAUCACCAUGUGCAUCUCUUAACUACCUAGAUGCUGACAUAUGGACCCAAGCUGAGAUCAUCGUCAAAGUCUACAUAUCUCUCUCUCGUCCGACUUGUCCACUCAUUCUCAUCCCUUCCGGCUGGCUCUUCAUUCAUUCUUCACUUCUCUCUCGUUCUCAUCUAAUCAAUCCAGGGGAGAAGCAAAGCAAACUUGAGCGGAUCUGGAUCACCGAGCAGCUAAUCUUGAGCGGAGCGACCGAGCAGAGCAGGGUAGCAAGAGCGGCAAGCUAGCGGUGGUUGGCGGCUGCCCACGGGACAACGACGGUGUCAGUCCAGACCUGAAGCUUUGGGUCAGAACAUGUUCUUCUUCAGCGGCUCAACACAGCUCGAUUUUGUUCUCAUCUUCAUGCGUGUGCAGCAUGCGAAGGGAAGAAAACAACGGAUUGAAGUGGAUAUUUUAUUUCCUGUGAAAUGGCUAGGCUGCUUCAGGAUUCCAAAGGAAAGUAAUGGAGGAUUCCUCCGUUCCAAACGCUCUGAGUAACUUCCUUUCCUCCGUUUUAGAUUCCUACACUUUUCCUAUAAAAUUCCUCCAAUCCAGACAGGGCCUUAGGACGCCAUCUCAAGUUUCACCAUCCUGCUGCCGCCUUCCUGCAAAAUUAAAGUUUACAGCGAGCGCACCCUCUACUUAGCACUUGUCUGCCUACUGUUUAGGAGUUAUUUUUCUCCAUCCACUUAGUAUUAACCUGCUAGUCUUCUAAUCUCUGACAGUACUUGCUAAGAACAACCUGAUUAGGAUGAGCAUUCAUACAGUAGGAUGUGCUAAAAGAUCUUUUAGUACAACCAAAUGAAUUAUUAAAUUCAUAGCUACCUGCCAAAUCUUGUUAAUGAAAAUAUUACCUGCCAAUACUGAUUACACACAACUGUCUCAUGGUGAUACUCAAUUGUUUGAUGAUUGGAAUAUUGCUGGUGUUAGUUACCUGUCGUAGUAAAUCAGCUUGUUCUACCAUUGUGCUUCCCUGGUCCAUCUCGAUUUUGUUCUUCUAGAACUUUAAGCAAGAAUCUAGUUGAGUAGUAAAAGCCACCAUGACACUUAAUAUUUGAGAACUUAACGUGUAUCUACUCUUGCCCACCUUAUGUUUGUAUGAUAUAACAUAUGCUUGUACUUGCAGUCCAUGCUAUAUGAAUGUUUGUGAUACCUAUAUACAUAGCAUUUUAGUAAUUUCUAUCACAAAUACUGCUCUUUGACAAGUAGUUGGCAACGUGCUCUUUCAGGUCGAGGAUUAGAUGCAUCAAGGAGCAAGCCAUUAGAAGUGAUUGGAUCAGCAAGCAGUUGACCUGAUAUGCUAUGCUGGACUGCUAGUGAUGCUAGAUGAAUAAAUAUAUUUGAUCUGUUAUUUUGAUGCGAUUCUGAAUGGGAACAUAUGUGAUGAUGUUAUUUGUGGGCUGGAAUUGCUUACUGUUAAUUUUGUGAUGUAAUUAUUGCUAUUAAUUGGCUGGAAUGGCUUAUUGUUGAACGAAUUGGGCUGGAAAAUGGUUGAAAUUUGGUGGGCUGAUUUUAUUUGA